GCCAAAGCAUGGAACUGAAUAAUGUCACAAGACAGAUAGAAAUAUCUCCAGCCAAGACUACCCAAGCUAUCUCAAAAAAGCUUUAAUAAAGAGCUACUUCUAACAAAGAAGAGACAUAUCUGCUACAUAGUCACUUUUCAAGCUACUGUGUGUCAAGCUCUAUCACAAUGAGUCAAAACACGAGCCAAGCUUCAAUAAUUGAAUGAUGCCAAUUGAGAAAUUCAGAUAAGAGUAGAUCCCCAAUUGAUGCAAAGGCAAAAACAACCCAUGCCUGAAACAAACGAGCAUAAACAGCACUACGCAUAAACUACAGCAAUUUGACAAUAGAUGCCAAAUCAAUUACAAAAAACAAUGAAAUCCUCUUCCCGCGAAUUGAUUUUGCCAAAACCCAACCUACAAAGCGACUUAGAGUACAACAUCCUCGUAGAGUAUGCAGAGCUAGGGACCUUCUAAAUCUAUGCAUUGUUGAGCAGAGAAACUUCUUUGUUAUUUUGUCCAAUAAAAAAUUGUAUCAUUUCCUUAUUUCGCUUCAGAGAAGUCUCCAAGAGAUCAGAUUGGACUUACUUUUCCUCCUUUGCUCAAGCAACCUGGACACCUUAAUCUUACUGAAGUUAAUAGUCCUUGUGUUUGGU
This 632-nucleotide unclassified non-coding RNA is filed under the name Hevea brasiliensis (rubber tree). The record is from RNAcentral. Lineage: Eukaryota; Viridiplantae; Streptophyta; Magnoliopsida; Malpighiales; Euphorbiaceae.